AUUGAACGCUGGCGGCAGGCCUAACACAUGCAAGUCGAACGGCAGCGGGGAGUAGCUUGCUACUCUCCCGGCGAGUGGCGGACGGGUGAGUAAUGCCUGGGGAGCUGCCCAAUCGAGGGGGAUACCAGUUGGAAACGACUGCUAAUACCGCAUACGCCCUGAGGGGGAAAGGUGGGGAUCUUCGGACCUAUCGCGAUUGGAUGCACCCAGGUGGGAUUAGCUAGUUGGUGAGGUAACGGCUCACCAAGGCUCCGAUCCUUAGCUGUUCUGAGAGGAAGAUCAGCCACACUGGGACUGAGACACGGCCCAGACUCCUACGGGAGGCAGCAGUUGGGAAUCUUGGACAAUGGGGGAAACCCUGAUCCAGCCAUGCCGCGUGAGUGAUGAAGGCCUCGGUGUAAAACUCUUUCGUACGGGACGAUAAUGACGGUA
Molecule: ribosomal RNA, 432 nt
Filed under: uncultured bacterium
Lineage: Bacteria
Description: bacterial SSU rRNA
Rfam family: Bacterial small subunit ribosomal RNA
Source: RNAcentral